GACGAACGCUGGCGGCGUGCUUAACACAUGCAAGUCGAACGGAAAGGCGCUGCUUUUGUGGGGCGCGCGAGGGGCGAGCGGGUGAGUAACACGUGAGUAACCUGUCCUUGACUUUGGGAUAACUUCAGGAAAAUGGGGAUAAUACAGGAUAGGAGCUCCUGAUGCAGGGGGGGGGAUGGAAAGUGCCGGCGGUAUGGGCUUGUCUAGCGGCUUAUGAGCUUGUUGGGGGGGUAGUGGAUGACAAAGGCUUUGACGGGUAGCCGGCCUGAGAGGGUGGCCGGCCACCAUGGUACUGCGAUACGGCCCAGUCUGCUACGGGAGGCAGAAGUGGGGAAUAUUGCACAAUGGGCGGAAGCCUGAUGCAGCGACGCCGCGUGCGGGAUGACGGCCUUCGGGUUGUAAACCGCUUUCGCCUGUGACGAAGCGUGAGUGACGGUACUGGGUAAAGAAGCACCGGCUAACUACGUG
RNAcentral lists this ribosomal RNA (468 nucleotides) under uncultured bacterium. Its description in RNAcentral is "partial 16S ribosomal RNA". It matches the Rfam family "Bacterial small subunit ribosomal RNA", at positions 28 to 507 of the family's 1533-position model. The record is from RNAcentral.